AGAGUUUGAUCAUGGCUCAGAUUGAACGCUGGCGGCAUGCUUACACAUGCAAGUCGAACGGUAACAGGUCUUUCGGGAUGCUGACGAGUGGCGAACGGGUGAGUAAUACAUCGGAACGUGCCCAGUAAUGGGGAUAGCUCGGCGAGGACAAGUUAAUACCGCAUACGCCCUGAGGGGAAAGUGGGGGACCGCAAGGCCUCACGUUAUUGGAGCGGCCGAUGCGUGAUUAGCUAGUUGGUAGGGUAAAGGCCUACCAAGGCGACGAUCAGUAGCUGGUCUGAGAGGACGAUCAGCCACACUGGGACUGAGACACGGCCCAGACUCCUACGGGAGGCAGCAGUGGGGAAUUUUGGACAAUGGGGGAAACCCUGAUCCAGCAAUGCCGCGUGUGCGAAGAAGGCCUUCGGGUUGUAAAGCACUUUUGUCAGGGAAGAAAUCCUUUGGGCUAAUACCCUAGGGGAUGACGGUACCUGAAGAAUAAGCACCGGCUAACUACGUGCCAGCAGCCGCGUAAUACGUAGGGUGCAAGCGUUAAUCGGAAUUACUGGGCGUAAACGGUGCGCAGCGGGUUGUGUAAGACAGGUGUGAAAUCCCCGGGCUUAACCUGGGAAUUGCAUUUGUGACUGCACGACUAGAGUGUGUCAGAGGGGGUGGAAUUCCACGUGUAGCAGUGAAAUGCGUAGAUAUGUGGAGGA
Molecule: ribosomal RNA, 695 nt
Filed under: uncultured Burkholderiaceae bacterium
Lineage: Bacteria; Pseudomonadati; Pseudomonadota; Betaproteobacteria; Burkholderiales; Burkholderiaceae
Description: bacterial SSU rRNA
Rfam family: Bacterial small subunit ribosomal RNA
Source: RNAcentral